GACGAACGCUGGCGGCGUGCCUAACACAUGCAAGUCGAACGGAACUUUUUUAAAAGAUUUCUUCGGAAUGAAUUUGAUUAAGUUUAGUGGCGGACGGGUGAGUAACGCGUGAGUAACCUGCCUCUAAGAGGGGAAUAACAUUCUGAAAAGAAUGCUAAUACCGCAUAACAUAUAUUUAUCGCAUGGUAGAUAUAUCAAAGAUUUAUCGCUUAGAGAUGGACUCGCGUCCGAUUAGUUAGUUGGUGAGGUAACGGCUCACCAAGACUGCGAUCGGUAGCCGGACUGAGAGGUUGAACGGCCACAUUGGGACUGAGACACGGCCCAGACUCCUACGGGAGGCAGCAGUGGGGGAUAUUGCGCAAUGGGGGAAACCCUGACGCAGCAACGCCGCGUCGAAGGAUGAAGGUCUUC
RNAcentral lists this ribosomal RNA (411 nucleotides) under uncultured bacterium. RNAcentral's name for it is "bacterial SSU rRNA". It matches the Rfam family "Bacterial small subunit ribosomal RNA", at positions 28 to 419 of the family's 1533-position model. The record is from RNAcentral.